Molecule: ribosomal RNA, 497 nt
Filed under: uncultured bacterium
Lineage: Bacteria
Description: partial 16S ribosomal RNA
Rfam family: Bacterial small subunit ribosomal RNA
Source: RNAcentral
GAUGAACGCUGGCGGCGUGCUUAACACAUGCAAGUCGAACGAAGCACUUUUAUUUGAUUUCUUCGGAAUGAAGAUUUUAGUGACUGAGUGGCGGACGGGUGAGUAACGCGUGGGUAACCUGCCUCAUACAGGGGGAUAACAGUUAGAAAUGACUGCUAAUACCGCAUAAGACCACAGUACCGCAUGGUACAGGGGUAAAAACUCCGGUGGUAUGAGAUGGACCCGCGUCUGAUUAGGUAGUUGGUGGGGUAACGGCCUACCAAGCCGACGAUCAGUAGCCGACCUGAGAGGGUGACCGGCCACAUUGGGACUGAGACACGGCCCAAACUCCUACGGGAGGCAGCAGUGGGGAAUAUUGCACAAUGGGGGAAACCCUGAUGCAGCGACGCCGCGUGAGCGAUGAAGUAUUUCGGUAUGUAAAGCUCUAUCAGCAGGGAAGAAAAUGACGGUACCUGACUAAGAAGCACCGGCUAAAUACGUGCCAGCCGCCGCCGUAA